RNAcentral lists this ribosomal RNA (429 nucleotides) under Chloroflexota bacterium. RNAcentral describes it as "Chloroflexi bacterium partial 16S ribosomal RNA". It matches the Rfam family "Bacterial small subunit ribosomal RNA", at positions 355 to 776 of the family's 1533-position model. The record is from RNAcentral. Lineage: Bacteria; Bacillati; Chloroflexota. RNAcentral also lists the same sequence under 1 other name.
UAGGGAAUCUUCGGCAAUGGACGAAAGUCUGACCGAGCAACGCCGCGUGAGUGAAGAAGGUUUUCGGAUCGUAAAACUCUGUUGUUAGAGAAGAACAAGGACGUUAGUAACUGAACGUCCCCUGACGGUAUCUAACCAGAAAGCCACGGCUAACUACGUGCCAGCAGCCGCGGUAAUACGUAGGUGGCAAGCGUUGUCCGGAUUUAUUGGGCGUAAAGCGAGCGCAGGCGGUUUCUUAAGUCUGAUGUGAAAGCCCCCGGCUCAACCGGGGAGGGUCAUUGGAAACUGGGAGACUUGAGUGCAGAAGAGGAGAGUGGAAUUCCAUGUGUAGCGGUGAAAUGCGUAGAUAUAUGGAGGAACACCAGUGGCGAAGGCGGCUCUCUGGUCUGCAACUGACGCUGAGGCUCGAAAGCGUGGGGAGCAAACAGG